CAGGGAUCAACCAGGGCUACCAGCAUGAACGACGGCGCUUCAAUGCACAAUGAGGGACGUCUGCAGCGACUGAGAAAGGGUCUCACCACAUCCUGACAUGAGGAAAAAGACUUUAUUGAAGACUACAAUGAGAAAAACUAUCAGACAGCAGACGGCAUGCAUUCAAGGUGAGCUCUGAACAUUUGAUCUGGAACAGGAAUUCAAUAACGGCAGCAUGAGCUUCAUUUCAGUCUGUAGCUGCUGAAUUCAUGGAUGAAUCAUCUGGCACUAGAGAGGAAGACCAUCAAACGUCCACGUCAGCUGAUGGAGGUCCAAGAGUCUCACCCAACAAACAACCUACAGAGUGAAGACCUCCAAUCUGAUUGGACGGCCUCCUAUUCAGCCACGUGUGUGAACAAAUGCCUCUAAGCUGAUUUGUUUUCUAAAAUAAAUCUAGUUUGUGUCCUAA
Molecule: long non-coding RNA, 448 nt
Organism: Amphiprion ocellaris (clown anemonefish)
Lineage: Eukaryota; Metazoa; Chordata; Actinopteri; Pomacentridae
Exons: 2
Source: RefSeq, a predicted model, not a curated record